Oryza glaberrima (African rice) is the source of this 201-nucleotide non-coding RNA. NCBI's taxonomy places the organism in Eukaryota, Viridiplantae, Streptophyta, Magnoliopsida, Poales, Poaceae. The record is from Rfam.
UAUAAGGGAUUUUGAGUUUUGGUUUGCACUGUUUGACCACUCGUCUUAUUCAGAAAGUUUUAGAAUUAUUAUUUAUUUUUUGACUUACUUUAUUAUCCAAAGUACUUUAAGCAUAAUUUUUCGUUUUUUAUAUUUGCACAAAUUUUUUGAAUAAGACGAGUGGUCAAACAAUGCAAAUAGAAACUCAAAAUCCCAUAUAUU